CCUACGGGAGGCAGCAGUGGGGAAUAUUGGACAAUGGGCGAAAGCCUGAUCCAGCAAUUCCGCGUGUGUGAAGAAGGCCUUCGGGUUGUAAAGCACUUUAGUUGGGGAAGAAACAGCUUGGCCACACCAAGCCUUGACGGUACCCAAAGAAUAAGCACCGGCUAACUCUGUGCCAGCAGCCGCGGUAAUACAGAGGGUGCAAGCGUUAAUCGGAUUUACUGGGCGUAAAGGGUGCGUAGGUGGUUUUGUAAGUCGGAUGUGAAAGCCUGGGGCGUCAACCUCAGAAUUGCACUCGAUACUGCAAGACUAGAGUUCGGUAGAGGGCGGCGGAAUUCCCGGUGUAGCGGUGAAAUGCGUAGAUAUCGGGAGGAACAUCAAUGGCGAAGGCAGCCGCCUGGGCCUGAACUGACACUGAGGCACGAAAGCGUGGGUAGCAAACAGGAUUAGAUACCCUGGUAGUCCACGCUGUAAACGAUGAGAACUUGACGUUGGUUCGUUUUACGAAUCGGUGUCGCAGCUAACGCGAUAAGUUCUCCGCCUGGGGNGUACGGCCGCAAGGUUGAAACUCGAAAGGAAUUGACGG
This 583-nucleotide ribosomal RNA is filed under the name uncultured bacterium. RNAcentral describes it as "bacterial SSU rRNA". It matches the Rfam family "Bacterial small subunit ribosomal RNA", at positions 338 to 916 of the family's 1533-position model. The record is from RNAcentral.